RNAcentral lists this ribosomal RNA (250 nucleotides) under uncultured Eubacteriales bacterium. RNAcentral's name for it is "uncultured Clostridiales bacterium partial 16S ribosomal RNA". It matches the Rfam family "Bacterial small subunit ribosomal RNA", at positions 91 to 339 of the family's 1533-position model. Lineage: Bacteria; Bacillati; Bacillota; Clostridia; Eubacteriales. The record is from RNAcentral.
CUGAGUGGCGGACGGGUGAGUAACGCGUGAGCAAUCUGCCUAUGCGAGGGGGAUAACAGCCGGAAACAGCUGCUAAUACCGCAUGAAACAUUUGGGUCGCAUGAUCCGGAUGUCAAAGAGUAACAUCGCGCAUAGAUGAGCUCGCGUCUGAUUAGAUAGUUGGUGGGGUAACGGCCUACCAAGUCGACGAUCAGUAGCCGGACUGAGAGGUUGAACGGCCACAUUGGAACUGAGAAACGGUCCAGACUCC